GCACUAUGCUCAUGAAGCAUCUCAUUUAAUCCUUGCAAGAACCUGAUGGAGUGGAUUCUAGCAUUAUUGACAGUUUUUCUAAGAGGAAACCGAAGGCUUAAUGAGGACAGGUUUUUAGGAAUCUGAUCAUGAAGACAGGCAGGCUCCGAGGGCCCAGCACAGCCUGCCCAUCUUGCAGCAUGAUUCUGCCUGGGAGUCAGGGAACCCACACUGGCUGAUGGAGGGCUGGGAGAGCUGCGGGGAGCCUGAGGGGCGGGCAGAGAGAUCCGGAGCCAAGAACUGACUAGAUCAACCAGUAAAUAAAAGGUCACAAUGAUUUUUCCAGGCACCCAGGGAGAAGCAGACAAGAGAGCCCAGCUGACGGCAGGAGCUGACAACUGGCAAAUGAGCCUCCACAGUUAUCUGUUUUCCUUCCUUAUUCUUGUCUCAUAAGACAGAGGCUAGAAAUAGAUGCAACUGGCAGAUGACUUAAGGAUGAAAAAUGGGCAACGUGUUAGUUGUGGGGGACUCCAUGGUAGUGAAAGAGGGAGAUUACCUUGGAGGCAGGGAGAAAACACAGGGCUUAGCUAGAGCCAUGGCUGAGGGUUUGGCUCUCACACUGUCCCAGGCAUUGUAUAGGGAUUUCACCUUCUCAGCAGUCCUAUCAGGUAGGUAUUAUUGUUAUCCCCACUUUACAGAAGACAAGACCAAGGCUUAGAGAGGAUACGCUAGGCCAUAUCAAAGAGUGAUAGAGCCAAGAUUUGAAUACAAUUCUAAUUGCCUCCCAAGAUGAGGCCUUACAGUAAACUAGAAUGCCUCCUUUUCAUAGAUAUUUUCCUUUGUUUCCUUUUUCCCCCUCCUCUCUUUCUUCCUAAGCUCCAACAAGUGUUUCCUGUUUCUUUCUUUUUUUUUUUUUUUUUUUUUUUUGGGAUGGAGUCUCUCUCUGUCCCCCAGGCUGGAGUGCAGUGGAGCGAUCUCGGCUCCCUGCAAGCUCCAUCUCCAGGGUUCACACCAUUCUCCUGCCUCAGCCUCCCGAGUAGCUGGGACUACAGGUGACCGCCACCAUGCCUGGCUAAUUUUUUGUAUUUUUAGUAGAGACGGGGUUUCACCGUGUUAGCCAGGAUGGUCUCCUGACCUCGUGAUCCACCCGCCUCAGCCUCGCAAAGUGCUGGGAUUACAGGCGUGAGCCACUGCGCCCAGCCCUAGUGUUUCUUGAGUACCUACUAAGUACCAAAUGCUGUGGUAUCUCUUGGGGAGACAGAAGCAGCCCAGACAGGCAAGGUCUCUGCCUGUAAUAAAUGCUGCAGAAAUGAUACAAUGAAUGCCUGAAAUGGGUGCACUAUCUCAUUUCCUUUAUCCUCUUUCCAUGAACCUGGGAUGGGCAGAGAUCUUCCUUGCUGUACAGUCAGAGAAAUGGCUGUCCUGAGGGGAGGGGAUUGGCAAGGUUACAACGGGCUUCAGCACUGGAGCUCUGCCAGAGCUAGCAUCUUUUUUCCUGAUGAUGUUACUUAGAUACAGGGUAUGUCCAGAGGACCUGCUGGUGAGCUUGCCACAGAGAGCACCAGGGGCUGGGUGCAUGAUGGCUUCCUACCAAGUUCUAUGUUGUAGCAGCUGGGGCUGGGGGAAUCCCUCUUAGGAAAGGUGGGUGGAUUGAGCCCCCCUGAAGGCUGCUCACCUGCAUGCUGCAGAAAUUCUGUGAGGAUGGAUGCCUCCUAAUCCUUGCCUUCAGCUCUGCCAGUAUCAAGUUUUGGGAAAUAGUCCUUGAAUAUACCAAACUCUCUCACACUCCCAAGCUUUCCUUAACUUGAACAAUAUUUCUUUGCUUUUUUAUUCCACUGGGUGAGCCCCUCCCCUCUCACGAUUCACCUAGAGCAUCACCUCCUCCAGGAAGCCUUCCUUGACUCACAGGCUAUAUUGGGUGGUGCCCUCUCCUGUAAUCCCAGCACUCUGCAUACUGUAUUGUAACUCACUACUUACUUGUCUAUUUUCCAUAUGUAUGUGUGAUAGUGCAAGGAUAAGCUCUUUGCUGUGAGCACAGUUGGUCCUCAAAGGCUGUUUGAUGAGCUAUUUAAUGGCUAAGUGGCUAGAACAUUUUUUUCAUCUCAGUUCAUUCUUCCCUCUCCUGUCUUCCUUCUACCUGGCUUGCAUCUCUGCCCACCUCUUUCUUAUAAUUAAAUAUUAGUUGAGGGACAGAGGCUGAACCCAGACUGUUUGCUAAGUCACCAACAGCUGAUGACACAGUCAGCCUUCUCAUCACCUGGUGGGAGUUUCAAACCCCAACCUGUUUGCAAGGUGGGGACCAGUCAUAACUGGGGGGAACAAGGUGAGGUGAGGGAGGUAACUUGAGGCACAGUGGCAAAGGCUCAGGGAACUUAACCACAAGGCAUGCACUCUAUGAAGUGGAGAUUGCGGCUGAAAAGCUGAGUCCCUGAGCUGGCCUGCUACAGAAAGAUCAAAGGGCCAGCUGGAAAUGCAGCCAAGCUGGGCUCUAAAAACAGUGUAAAGCUGGGAGGAGAAGGGCUUGAACACACAUUUCCCCCAGUGGGUACAUGCAAUGGCAUAUGAAAGAGCCUAACACUAACAUAGUGAAGACACUAACACUAACAUAGUGUAGACACUAACACCCCCAGAACACACAGGAACGUUUGCUCUCAUCUCACUCACCAACCCCACCAACUUCUGUUCUCACAAGCACAUGCAUACUCGAACCCAGGUCAGCCUCCGAGCGCUGUGCACACAGCCUCCAUUCCAUACACAUUCAUGGCUAGAAGGAAUGCACCCAAUGUCAUUGCCGCAAGGGGCAUUCAAACACAUUUUAUCAAUGGGGAAAAUGAGGCUCCAGUUGACCUUGACUCAGAUGUGUGGUGAGUGACUCUUGAUGAUUGGCACAGGCAGACUCUUACCUACUCCUCCCCGGCCACUCUCCCAUCACCCCUCUGCCAUCCUGCCACCUCCCUCCCGCAACAAACUCCCUGGCAGUUCAAAGUUGGAUUCCAAAUUUUGUCCCUAGGAUCAACCCCAUUGAGAAACCUUAUCUGACAGACAGCAUGUGCCAGUGGCUGGCCAGAACUCACAGGUGGUGAGAAAAAGCCCCCCACAUAUUUCUGUAAAUGAGUACAGCUGGUCACUUCUGGCUGAGGAGUUCAGAGGCCUUCACUAAAGAAAUCAAAAAGUGGUGGUCAGCUUCCCACUUCAUGGGAACCCUGUGUUCACAAAGAUGUCCCUGGAUAAAAGGCCUGAGAGGAGCUGUUCAAGCCUGAACCAUUUGUAUGAGAAAUCUGCUGGGGUGGAGACCAACACCUUUCCCCUCCCUCAGGGGCACCCAGAGCCCUGGCCCACAUACAGAGGGACCUUGCCAAGUCCCGGCCACGCACCCCAGGACUUCCAAUUGCGCUUGUCUCCAGGGGUUCACUGACUUCCCCUUUGCCUCUGCCCCUCUUCCUGAUGCAUGGUGCCGCUCUCGACACCUCUGAACCUGCAUCUUCACACUACAGAAACCGUCCUAGUCAUCAGUGGAUGGCAGUAACUUUUCAUGACGGCUCCUCUGAUGUUGCCAUCUUUCGUGUUGAUCAAAACAACAAAACGAAUCAGACUCUCGGCAUCUGAUUGAAGCCUAAUUGGAAAUCCAAAGUGGCACUAAAUGUUAUGGUCUAAAUAAAACACAUUCAAUUACUGAAACUCAACGCAGGGAACACAAGGGAGCGCUCCUGGAAGGAGCUGAAAAGCAGGCUGCAGAGCUCUGGGGUGUCAUUCCGGGGCCCCCUGUGUCUGGCUGGAUAAGACUUAAGAUGGGGAACACAGGAGGCUUUCUUGAGUCUGAGAACCUCUUACUUAGGGCCAGGGAUUGAGCUGAUAUGGGUUUGCAUGGUUCACACUUGAAACAGCACCAGAGAAGCUGAAUCGGGGCUUCAAUGCCUCACAUGUGUUCUGCAGCUGCCCUCCUUGAAAAGGUUUUUCCUUUGCCAGACCGACGAGCUUUGGAUGGGGGUAAGAAAAUAUGCAGAGGAGUCAUGAUGUCUCCCGCUGGGGUCUCUGCAUGGGCUCUCCUGGUGCUAGGGGAGGGCGAGCAGUCCAGGAGCUUUGCAGCCACACAGACAGGCUCCUCACUCCCGGCUAUGCCUCCUAAAAGUCAUAGACACACCUAGCUCAGAUCCCUCAACAUUGCUGCACCUGGCCUUCCUCAUUUGUCAAACGGGGGAGAUAAUACCUGUCUUCCCAGGUUCUUGUGAAGAGGGGAGAUCAUGCUCGUGAGGCGCUUGGCUGGCUGCGCAGGAGAAACUCCGCGGUAACUUCCUGGGGCGAGGUGCUUUUUCUCCCUGCAUUCUGACCACCUGCAGAGGCAUUUCCCCUGACUGUCCAUGUAGGGCCCGGGGCAGUGCUUGCUUUCCUUUAUUGGUUUUUUAAACUAAACAGUGCACUACUCCAAUCUCCUUGAAGGUGUCAAAUGAGGAGUUACUGAGUCUGUGCUGGCCUCCUGGAGCCCAGAAAGCCGCCUCUGAACCCUUUUCCUAACUGGGAGCCGGGUGUGGGGAGAGCAGGAGGGGAGGAGCCUUCUGCAGCCACAGGGCAGCCAGGGGGCGCUGUCUCAGGAAGCUGAAGAGGUGUGGAUUUGGCUUCAGAGGUGUGGGGUGGAGUCCCAGCCCUGCUGUUGGACAGCUUGGUGGCCCUGGGCAAAUUACUUAGUCAGUUUGAAUUUCAGUUUUGUUAUCUGUUAAAAAAAGGCAAGGACAAUAAUACUUAUCUCAUAGGACUGGUGUAUUAGCUGAGGCCAUGUUUGUAAACUAAAAUAAGAAAAACACGGCAAAAAUAUUAGUUAGAUUUCAACACAGCUUAAAUAAGGUAGGGCUGAGAGGCAAGGCAGGGUGGUUAAGCUUUUUUUAGGUGUGGCUGUUUGCAAAGCAUGACCUGCAGGGCUUGGCCUGAUGAUGAUGUAUGGGGGCACAACUGUAAAAAUAUAAUUACUACUACUACCAUUUACUAAGCGGGUAGUAGGUUCCUGGUACUUUUCAGAGUGCUUUUUAUGCAUUAAUUAAUUUAAUCUUCAAACAGAUGCCAUAAUUAUGCCCAUUUUACAGGUGAGGUAACUGAAGCACAGAAAGGUGAAGCAACUUGCCCAAGGUCACAUGGCAGUAAGCAGUAGAGCCAGGGCUUGAACCCAGGCUGGCUGCUCCCCAUGGCUGUCAGGAAACUACUGAUAGUCAAUCAUUGUCUGCUUCUCCACAUUCGGCUUGGUAUACCCUUUCUUCUCCGGAGUCACUGCCCCCUCAGACCUCUCAUCUCCUCUUCUGUAAAAUAAAGGGCUGCUCUUCACUAGAGAAUCUCUGGAUAAACCAGCUCUGGAUUCUUGUGUUAGGGAGAGGGUGAGUCCCCCGAGUGACCCCAAUUAGGGAGGGAACCAGGACAGGUCCCUUCCUGGUGGUAUGCGUUUAUGAGUUACUUUAAUCAUUGAAUACAUAGUACAUCUCUUCUACAGCAUUGCUCUGAUGUACAAAUAAAUAACCUUAUCUUGUGAUUUAUCUAUACAUCAUUGCGCUUCUCCAGAAUUUGACCACCUUGAGGGCAGGGAUUCUAUUUUAUUUUUUGCUAUACAAAAGCAUACGUAAUAGUGCUAUUGUUGCAUUGAAAACAGCAAAAAGAAAUCAAGAAGGUACUUAUCUUCCUGGCAGCCCUAUUUAGAAGGAGACUUUUGCUGGAAUAUUACUUAGAAAGACAGCCCUAUCUAUAUCUACAUAUGCAAAUGACUUGUCAGUGGACAGCUCUAUGCAUUAUACAUGGUCAACACUUAAUGGUCUAUUGAAUGAAUGAGUCUGCAUAUGCAAACAAUAUGCAAAUCUUUCCCUAUUUUAAUUUGACCCUUCGGAACAUCUUCAGGAACUCUCUUGGGCCUAGGUUGUUUUAAUGUUGCUAAUUAAAAGUUUUUAAACACAGUGUUCACUCUUGUCUGUGCUG
Homo sapiens (human) is the source of this 5928-nucleotide long non-coding RNA. RefSeq lists it as uncharacterized. NCBI's taxonomy places the organism in Eukaryota, Metazoa, Chordata, Mammalia, Primates, Hominidae. The transcript is spliced from 2 exons. The record is from RefSeq and is a predicted model, not a curated record.